CACGUAGGGGACGAGCGUUGUCCGGAUUUAUUGGGCGUAAAGAGCGUGUAGGCGGCCAGGUAGGUCCGUUGUGAAAACUCGAGGCUCAACCUCGAGACGCCGAUGGAAACCAUCUGGCUAGAGUCCGGAAGAGGAGAGUGGAAUUCCUGGUGUAGCGGUGAAAUGCGCAGAUAUCAGGAAGAACACCCGUGGCUAAGGCGGCUCUCUAGUACGGUACUGACGCUGAGACGCGAAAGCGUGGGGAGCGAACAGG
Molecule: ribosomal RNA, 253 nt
Filed under: uncultured bacterium
Lineage: Bacteria
Description: partial 16S ribosomal RNA
Rfam family: Bacterial small subunit ribosomal RNA
Source: RNAcentral